CAGGGAGACAACAAAAUGUUUAAUAUUAAUUUUGUCACCUUAGGUCGAUCGGUAUCUCACGUUUUUAAUUUAUUAAGAACUUCAUUUCCUAAGUUUUUUCUAGGUCACACCCAUUAUUUUUCCUGGGCCAUUAGCUCAGGUGGUUAGAGCGCACCCCUGAUAAGGGUGAGGUCCCUGGUUCAAGUCCAGGAUGGCCCAUAUCUCUAUGUUGGGGGUAUAGCUCAGUUGGUAGAGCGCCUGCUUUGCAAGCAGGAUGUCAGCGGUUCGAGUCCGCUUACCUCCACUGAUUACCACCUCCUUCAUAAUUGAUUGAAAGGAAAUCUUUUGUGAUGUGAUCAGAUUCUGAACGAAUCUAGCUUCCUAAUGAAAUUAUUAAAAAAAUUCAUUAAGAUGCUGGACUCAAUGAAUUAUUUUCAUUGUUUUCAGAGAACCUUGACAACUGCAUAGAUUAUUUUUAAAGACAAUGAGCAUCUUUAAUGAUGCAGAUUUAUUAUUUGUGCUAAUGCAUUAAUAACAAUUCUAUUAAGCUGAUGCUUCAAUUUUUGAAGUUAUU
Molecule: transfer RNA, 553 nt
Filed under: uncultured cyanobacterium
Lineage: Bacteria; Bacillati; Cyanobacteriota
Description: partial miscellaneous RNA
Rfam family: tRNA (bases 211-283)
Source: RNAcentral